CCUACGGGAGGCAGCAGUGGGGAAUAUUGCACAAUGGGGGAAAGCCUGAUGCAGCGACGCCGCGUGAGUGAAGAAGGACUUCGGGAUGUAAAGCUCUAUCAGUAGGGAAGAAAAUGACGGUACUUGAGUAAGAAGCCCUGGCUAACUACGUGCCAGCAGCCGCGGUAAUACGGAGGGGGAAAGGGUUAUCCGGAUUUACUGGGUGUAAAGGGAACGUAGACGGCAGUGCAAGUCUGGAGUGAAAGGCGGGGGCUCAACCCCCGGACUGCUAUUGAAACUGUACGGCUGGAGUGCAGGAGAGGUAGGUGGAAUUCCUAGUGUAGCGGUGAAAUGCGUAGAUAUUAGGAGGAACACCAGUGGCGAAGGCGGCUUACUGGACUGUAACUGACGUUGAGGCUCGAAAGCGUGGGGAGCAAACAGGAUUAGAUACCCCUGUAGUC
RNAcentral lists this ribosomal RNA (440 nucleotides) under uncultured bacterium. Its description in RNAcentral is "partial 16S ribosomal RNA". It matches the Rfam family "Bacterial small subunit ribosomal RNA", at positions 338 to 795 of the family's 1533-position model. The record is from RNAcentral.